This 1434-nucleotide ribosomal RNA is filed under the name uncultured organism. RNAcentral describes it as "partial small subunit ribosomal RNA". It matches the Rfam family "Bacterial small subunit ribosomal RNA". The record is from RNAcentral.
CUUAACACAUGCAAGUCGAACGGAAAGGCCCUGCUUUUGUGGGGUGCUCGAGUGGCGAACGGGUGAGUAACACGUGAGUAACCUGCCCUUGACUUUGGGAUAACUUCAGGAAACUGGGGCUAAUACCGGAUAGGAGCUCCUGCUGCAUGGUGGGGGUUGGAAAGUUUCGGCGGUUGGGGAUGGACUCGCGGCUUAUCAGCUUGUUGGUGGGGUAGUGGCUUACCAAGGCUUUGACGGGUAGCCGGCCUGAGAGGGUGACCGGCCACAUUGGGACUGAGAUACGGCCCAGACUCCUACGGGAGGCAGCAGUGGGGAAUAUUGCACAAUGGGCGGAAGCCUGAUGCAGCAACGCCGCGUGCGGGAUGACGGCCUUCGGGUUGUAAACCGCUUUCGCCUGUGACGAAGCGUGAGUGACGGUAAUGGGUAAAGAAGCACCGGCUAACUACGUGCCAGCAGCCGCGGUGAUACGUAGGGUGCGAGCGUUGUCCGGAUUUAUUGGGCGUAAAGGGCUCGUAGGUGGUUGAUCGCGUCGGAAGUGUAAUCUUGGGGCUUAACCCUGAGCGUGCUUUCGAUACGGGUUGACUUGAGGAAGGUAGGGGAGAAUGGAAUUCCUGGUGGAGCGGUGGAAUGCGCAGAUAUCAGGAGGAACACCAGUGGCGAAGGCGGUUCUCUGGGCCUUUCCUGACGCUGAGGAGCGAAAGCGUGGGGAGCGAACAGGCUUAGAUACCCUGGUAGUCCACGCUGUAAACGGUGGGUACUAGGUGUGGGGUCCAUUCCACGGGUUCCGUGCCGUAGCUAACGCUUUAAGUACCCCGCCUGGGGAGUACGGCCGCAAGGCUAAAACUCAAAGGAAUUGACGGGGCCCCGCACAAGCGGCGGAGCAUGCGGAUUAAUUCGAUGCAACGCGUAGAACCUUACCUGGGUUUGACAUGGAUCGGGAGUGCUCAGAGAUGGGUGUGCCUCUUUUGGGGUCGGUUCACAGGUGGUGCAUGGCUGUCGUCAGCUCGUGUCGUGAGAUGUUGGGUUAAGUCCCGCAACGAGCGCAACCCUUGUUCACUGUUGCCAGCACGUUAUGGUGGGGACUCAGUGGAGACCGCCGGGGUCAACUCGGAGGAAGGUGGGGAUGACGUCAAGUCAUCAUGCCCCUUAUGUCCAGGGCUUCACGCAUGCUACAAUGGCUGGUACAGAGAGUGGCGAGCCUGUGAGGGUGAGCGAAUCUCGGAAAGCCGGUCUCAGUUCGGAUUGGGGUCUGCAACUCGACCUCGUGAAGUCGGAGUCGCUAGUAAUCGCAGAUCAGCAACGCUGCGGUGAAUACGUUCCCGGGGCUUGUACACACCGCCCGUCAAGUCAUGAAAGUUGGUAACACCCGAAGCCGGUGGCCUAACCGUUGUGGGGGAGCCGUCGAAGGUGGGACUGGUGAUUAGGACUAAGUCA